UACAGAGGGGGCAAGCGUUGUUCGGAAUUACUGGGGGUAAAGGGCGCGUAGGCGGCCUGCUAAGUCGAACGUGAAAUCCCCGGGCUCAACCCGGGAACUGCGUCCGAUACUGGUUAGCUUGAAUCCGGGAGAGGGAUGCGGAAUUCCAGGUGUAGCGGUGAAAUGCGUAGAUAUCUGGAGGAACACCGGUGGCGAAGGCGGCAUCCUGGACCGGCAUUGACGCUGAGGCGCGAAAGCCAGGGGAGCAAACGGG
Molecule: ribosomal RNA, 253 nt
Filed under: uncultured bacterium
Lineage: Bacteria
Description: partial 16S ribosomal RNA
Rfam family: Bacterial small subunit ribosomal RNA
Source: RNAcentral